Molecule: non-coding RNA, 326 nt
Organism: Paramisgurnus dabryanus
Lineage: Eukaryota; Metazoa; Chordata; Actinopteri; Cypriniformes; Cobitidae
Source: RefSeq, a predicted model, not a curated record
CCCAAACCGAGGCUGUAACGUCAUGCUCGAGUCAAAACCUCACCCACCCUCCCAGAAGCGAGCAGCUUUUUCACACACAGGCGCAGACUGACUGAGACUGACUGGCUGGCUGGCGCCGUAGCGGAUUGCUGUAGUUAACGGACACACUGCACAAUGCGUGAAUAUAAAUUAGUAGUCCUCGGAUCAGGAGGUGUCGGCAAGUCUGCGCUGACUGUUCAGUUUGUCCAAGGGAUCUUUGUGGAAAAGUACGACCCCACAAUAGAAGACUCAUACAGAAAGGCAAGUCCAGUUUUGUUUGUUGUUGGGUGUCAAAUCAAUUUCAAAGU